This 253-nucleotide ribosomal RNA is filed under the name uncultured bacterium. Its description in RNAcentral is "partial 16S ribosomal RNA". It matches the Rfam family "Bacterial small subunit ribosomal RNA", at positions 524 to 776 of the family's 1533-position model. The record is from RNAcentral.
GACGUAGGGCGCAAGCGUUGUCCGGAUUUAUUGGGCGUAAAGGGUGCGUAGGCGGCGCGGUAAGUCGGGUGUGAAAUCUUGGAGCUUAACUCCGAAACUGCAUUCGAUACUGCCGUGCUUGAGGACUGGAGAGGAGACUGGAAUUUACGGUGUAGCGGUGAAAUGCGUAGAUAUCGUAAGGAAGACCAGUGGCGAAGGCGGGUCUCUGGACAGUUCCUGACGCUGAGGCACGAAGGUCAGGGGAGCAAACGGG